This 1656-nucleotide unclassified non-coding RNA is filed under the name Hevea brasiliensis (rubber tree). Lineage: Eukaryota; Viridiplantae; Streptophyta; Magnoliopsida; Malpighiales; Euphorbiaceae. The record is from RNAcentral.
AAAAUUUCAUUAAAUUAUCAUAUUUUUUAUAAUAAAAUAAUAAUUAAUUUUAUUUUAAACUAAAUAAUCAUAAAAUACACUUAAAAUUUAAUAAGAUAAUAUAUAGUGCAUAAAAGUAAAAUUACUCUUUUUUGGCUUUGGCUUGUAAUUUCCACAGCUCAUUGACCAGCUCAUCCAAGUCUUUCGAAGACCUCCCACCAUCUCUCACAGCUCCCACCGCUUUGGCUUUCAAACCCUUGGCCCUCAUUUUCUCUCCUUCAUAUCCAACCCCAUUCAUCGACUCACCAAUCACUUUUCCCAACUCGUCCGAGUCUGGAACCGAGUCUGCCCCCACACAUACCCUCACCGCAACCCCCAAGUCCUCCACCAACAAUUUCCCAUUCACAAACUGGUCCGCUUCCAUAGGCCAAGCCAAUAUCAGCACCCCAUUCACUAUUCCCUCUAGAACAGAGUUCCAACCACAGUGACUCAGAAAUCCACCCACCGCUCGGUGACUCAAUAACAUCACCUGUGGCGACCACCCCCUUAUGAUCAAGCCCCUCCCAGCGAUCCGUUCCUCGAACCCAUGGGGUACUACCCCAUACCCGUCUUCCACCUGUUGGGUUGUGCCCAUUUUGACAACCCAAAUGAAUCGAGCCAUGGUCUUUUCGAGACCCGACGCCAGUGCCUCCAUUUGUGCCUUGCUCAUCAAUUUUUGACUCCCAAAGCAGACGUAGACUACGGAUCCAUCCGGGCACCCAUCGAGCCAAUCGAACACGUGGGCAAAAGAACCGGAAUCGGGGUUUCCCCGACUGGAAUGAUCCGGACCCAACAAGCUUAGAGGGCCAACCCCAAAAACUCUCUCGUGCCCCAUUUUCUUCUUCAAGAAACCCAAAUAUUCACCCUCCAGAGCCUCACAGCUAUUGAAGAUGCACCCAAAACUCAAGGUAUUUGCAAGCAUUCCUUCCCUAACGACCUGCCAAUCAGGGUCGUAUUCCUCGUACAAUCGGAAUAUAGAUGGCAGGUGCUCCUCCUUAAACGACGGUGAUCUGGGCAAGUCAAUGAAGCCCACGACGUCUAAAGUCUUUACGGUCUCAAGGUUAUUCCAACAAUGGUCAGCAACCGCUGCCAGAAACGCACCGGAUGAAAAGAAGGCGAAUCUGGGGAUAUUGAUCUCGUUAGCCAGGCGUAGUGUCCACCCGAGGAAGAAAUCAGAAAUGAGAGAAACAGGAGGGUUAGGGUGGGAACGAAACCACUUGAUAAUAGUGUCAUAAAGCUUGCUUAAGGCUGCGAUUAUGGGUAAGUUUCCUGCGUUACCGAGCUCUUUGACAUUCUCCACGCCGCCGGGGAGCGAAGGAUGAGACGGUAAAGGGAGGAUUAGUGUUUGAAUUCGAGGGUGGAAGGAGAGGAGCGCAGAGAGUGUAGGGAGGUUUUUGGGAGUGGUUAUGAUGGUUAUGGUAAAGUUGCGGAGAGAGAGUUGGUGGGUAAGGUCUAAAAGAGGGAGGCUGUGGCCUUGAGCUGGGUAGGGAAAGACUAGAAGGUGUGGAGGUUUCUGGGCUACCGCGGCAGUGGACAUGAUCGAUGAUGGACAGAGAAUGUGCACAACCAGUCUAUGGCAAUUGACUGGUAAGUGAAGGCCCAACGCAACUCACGAGGGGAAGCUUUUUGGAAUAUUAA